CCACACUCGACGCCGAAAGGAGGCCUGUCAUAGGGAGGCGUACAAAAUGGCAUGUCGAUUCCCAAAAUACCAACGAUGCGAUCGUCGCCAGCCUCGAUGGACUUGGCCCAGAGACCUCUGCGCACGUGAUCGAGGAUCCAACCACGUCUCGCGGCUUCGGCCACGAGUUCGAAUCGGCCACUCGUCGUCCACACGGCCAGUGAGUCUUUAGUCGGCGGAUGGCACCCACCUGCAUCCACCGCAUAGGCCAAGGUCUCUGCCGAUCCGGGCACCUUGUUUGAGAUGAGGCCAGCAGGCAGAACGACCUUCCUCUCGCACAACCACCCAAGAGCACCCGGAGUGAGUGCCUUGAAAGCGCACAUGGCACUUGACUCCUCGUAAAUCGGAAGCGACGUGGCACCGCAAUGCCGUUCGAGCCAGUUGAGGGCGUGCACGGCGCUCUCGCCGAGCGCGGCAUCAAACAUGUCGGUGCAGUAGUGCCGCUCAGAGUCGGGCGGAAGAGCACCGACGAUCCAGUUGAGCGCAGCCACCGCGUCGCCGGCAGCCGCCUCGACAAAUAACCCACGAGCGCGUUCUUGACGUGCGCAGGCACACCCGAAUGUUGUGCUGUGGACGCACUGCGAGGGCAGCGACGACAGCCAGUCCAGCACGUCGACACGAUUCGAUCGCGCAGCCGACAGCCACAGGGCGCGAGGCUCGGCCAGGCCCCGAGCGGCAAGGCGCCGAAGCAAAUCGACCUCGGCGUGGCGCACGAGGUCGUCGACGUGGCCAGAGGCGACGGAACGCAAAAAAGCGGCUCGGCGCGGCUGCUGCCAUUCGUCCUCCGUCUCCAUGGCGUUGCACAGCGUCGCAAUCUUGCCUGCCUUUGCAGCGCACCACCAUACAAGGCGAUCCAUGGUAUCUGCGCCUCGGUCGGGAUCAUAAAAGAACCGGACGGUGACGUCGUUCAUAUCGCCGGCCCGGCCGUGGCGACGCGCACAAAUCGUCGGUCGUGCCGUGCGCUCGACGCAAGUCCACAACAGAAAAGAAGGCGAAACAUCGGGCGCCGCCGCACCGAUAAACAUGUGGCCGUGGUGGAUAAAACCCGGCCCAGACCUGCAGGCGAGCGCGUGUGCACGCAGAGCCCACGGGACCAUUUUAGAGGCUUUUCCAUGCGUGCGCCCGCUUACGAUCAUCGCUGUCUUGAUCGUCGCUGUGCUCUGGCUGCGACGGUCAGCACGGGACAAAAUGGCAUACCAGCGCCUGCAUACACGAGCGGCUACCGGUCGCCACCAAGGGUCAACGUGCGCCG
This 1291-nucleotide long non-coding RNA is filed under the name Pandoravirus salinus. Its description in RNAcentral is "putative ncRNA". The record is from RNAcentral.